This 862-nucleotide ribosomal RNA is filed under the name Helminthosporium velutinum. RNAcentral's name for it is "partial large subunit ribosomal RNA". It matches the Rfam family "Eukaryotic large subunit ribosomal RNA", at positions 69 to 949 of the family's 3401-position model. Lineage: Eukaryota; Fungi; Ascomycota; Dothideomycetes; Pleosporales; Massarinaceae. The record is from RNAcentral.
CUGGGAUUGCCCUAGUAACGGCGAGUGAAGCGGCAAUAGCUCAAAUUUGAAAUCUGGCUUCCUUUGGGGGUCCGAGUUGUAAUUUGCAGAGGGUGCUUUGGCGUUGGUAGCGGUCUAAGUUCCUUGGAACAGGACAUCGCAGAGGGUGAGAAUCCCGUUUGUGGUCGCAUGCCUUCGCCGUGUAAAGCCCCUUCGACGAGUCGAGUUGUUUGGGAAUGCAGCUCUAAAUGGGAGGUAAAUUUCUUCUAAAGCUAAAUACUGGCCAGAGACCGAUAGCGCACAAGUAGAGUGAUCGAAAGAUGAAAAGCACUUUGGAAAGAGAGUCAAACAGCACGUGAAAUUGUUGAAAGGGAAGCGCUUGCAGCCAGACUUGCCCGUAGUUGCUCACCCAGGCUUUUGCCCGGGGCAUUCUUCUGCGGGCAGGCCAGCAUCAGUUUGGGCGGUCGGAUAAAGGCCUCUGUCACGUAUCUUCCUUCGGGAUGACCUUAUAGGGGAGGCGACAUGCGACCAGCCCGGACUGAGGUCCGCGCUUCUGCUAGGAUGCUGGCGUAAUGGCUGUAAGCGGCCCGUCUUGAAACACGGACCAAGGAGUCUAACAUCUAUGCGAGUGUUUGGGUGUCAAGCCCGAGCGCGUAAUGAAAGUGAACGGAGGUGGGAACCCUUGGGUGCACCAUCGACCGAUCCUGAUGUCUUCGGAUGGAUUUGAGUAAGAGCAUAGCUGUUGGGACCCGAAAGAUGGUGAACUAUGCUUGAAUAGGGUGAAGCCAGAGGAAACUCUGGUGGAGGCUCGCAGCGGUUCUGACGUGCAAAUCGAUCGUCAAAUUUGGGCAUAGGGGCGAAAGACUAAUCGAACUAUCUAGUA